Labrus bergylta (ballan wrasse) is the source of this 621-nucleotide non-coding RNA. Lineage: Eukaryota; Metazoa; Chordata; Actinopteri; Labriformes; Labridae. The record is from RefSeq and is a predicted model, not a curated record.
ACUCGAAGUUCCGACCCAGAUCACUGUGCACUCUUUGUGGUGCACCAUAACCACACACCCAGUCAGUGCUCUUUCUGCUGCCUUGUGUUUCUCCCCACUCAGGUUGCCUUCAGGUAAAGAGGGGCGGAGCCACUUCAUUUGAUGUUGUGCACCUGGGCACACAGGGCCUCAGUAUUUAAAGUGGCUUCUUAUUGUCUGUCUCUCGUCAACACUACACACAUUCACCAUUACAAUCACCACUGAUUUACAGUUUGCACAUUCUUUGAUUAGGAGGAUUUUCCUGGGUUGUGAGAAAAUGGGGGUUUGUCUGACUUCUGAACUUGGAUUUGGCUUGAUACUUGGUAGUUGUAAAUCUAAUUAGUUGUGUAUCAGAUUGUUUGUGUAGUUUGUUUGGAACUUGAUCUGUGCAGAGUGGUGACUAGGUCAGUGGUCUUCAGGGAUGGUGUCCGAGUUUGGGAGACGCCUCGAGCUCGACAAGCCAUUGAAGAAGUGAGGCUUAGUGCGUCCCCCACAGCACCGCGAUCAGUUUAGACAUCCUGAAGACGAUCGAGGAGAACUUGGAGAUGGAGGAAUGGGUGAAACCUGCCGACGGCUCGCGCCCACUCGAAACAAAGUGGAGGA